UAGUGAGUUUGAUCCUGGCUCAGGAUGAACGCUGGCGGUCUGCUUAACACAUAGCAAGUCGAACGCAAGUAGAAAUACUUGAGUGGCGGACGGGUUAGAGUAACGCGUGAGAAUCUGCCUUCUGGUCGGGACAACCACUGGAAACGGUGGCUAAUACCGGAUAUGCCUAUGGGUGAAAGAUUAAUUGCCUGAAGAAGAGCUCGCGUCUGAUUAGCUA
RNAcentral lists this ribosomal RNA (217 nucleotides) under uncultured bacterium. Its description in RNAcentral is "partial 16S ribosomal RNA". It matches the Rfam family "Bacterial small subunit ribosomal RNA", at positions 1 to 247 of the family's 1533-position model. The record is from RNAcentral.